UGGGGGAUAUUGCACAAUGGGGGGAACCCGUGAUGCAGCGACGCCGCGUGGGUGAGGAAGCGCCUCGGCGCGUAAAGCCCUGUCAGCAGGGAAGAAAAUGACGGUACCUGAAGAAGAAGCCCCGGCUAACUACGUGCC
This 138-nucleotide ribosomal RNA is filed under the name uncultured bacterium. Its description in RNAcentral is "partial 16S ribosomal RNA". It matches the Rfam family "Bacterial small subunit ribosomal RNA", at positions 355 to 509 of the family's 1533-position model. The record is from RNAcentral.